GAUGAACGCUGGCGGCAUGCCUUACACAUGCAAGUCGAACGGCAGCACGGGUGCUUGCACCUGGUGGCGAGUGGCGAACGGGUGAGUAAUACAUCGGAACGUACCUUAUCGUGGGGGAUAACGCAGUGAAAGCUGUGCUAAUACCGCAUACGCCCUGAGGGGGAAAGCGGGGGAUCGCAAGACCUCGCGCGAUUAGAGCGGCCGAUGCCCGAUUAGCUUGUUGGUGGGGUAAAAGCCCACCAAGGCGACGAUCAGUAGCUGGUCUGAGAGGACGAUCAGCCACACGGGGAAUGAGACACGGCCCAGACUCCUACGGGAGGCAGCAGUGGGGAAUUUUGGACAAUGGGGGCAACCCUGAUCCAGCAAUGCCGCGUGAGUGAAGAAGGCCUUCGGGUUGUAAAGCUCUUUUGUCAGGGAAGAAACACCGGCUCUAACACAGUCCGGGAAUGACGGUACCUGAAGAAUAAGCACCGGCUAACUACGUGCCAGCCGCCGCGGUAA
This 501-nucleotide ribosomal RNA is filed under the name uncultured bacterium. RNAcentral describes it as "partial 16S ribosomal RNA". It matches the Rfam family "Bacterial small subunit ribosomal RNA", at positions 28 to 523 of the family's 1533-position model. The record is from RNAcentral.